GACGAACGCUGGCGGCGUGCUUAACACAUGCAGGUCGAACGGAAAGGCCCUGCUUUUGUGGGGUGCUCGAGUGGCGAACGGGUGAGUAACACGUGAGUAACCUGCCCUUGACUUUGGGAUAACUUCAGGAAACUGGGGCUAAUACCGGAUAGGAGCUCCUGCUGCAUGGUGGGGGUUGGAAAGUUUCGGCGGUUGUGGAUGGACUCGCGGCUUAUCAGCCUGUUGGUGGGGUAGUGGCUUACCAAGGCUUUGACGGGUAGCCGGCCUGAGAGGGUGACCGGCCACAUUGGGAAUAAGAUACGGCCCAGACUCCUACGGGAGGCAGCAGUGGGGAAUAUUGCACAAUGGGCGGAAGCCUGAUGCAGCAACGCCGCGUGCGGGAUGACGGCCUUCGGGUUGUAAACCGCUUUCGCCUGUGACGAAGCGUGAGUGACGGUAAUGGGUAAAGAAGCACCGGCUAACUACGUG
Molecule: ribosomal RNA, 468 nt
Filed under: uncultured bacterium
Lineage: Bacteria
Description: partial 16S ribosomal RNA
Rfam family: Bacterial small subunit ribosomal RNA
Source: RNAcentral